AUUGAACGCUGGCGGCAUGCUUUACACAUGCAAGUCGAACGGCAGCGCGGGCUUCGGCCUGGCGGCGAGUGGCGAACGGGUGAGUAAUACAUCGGAACGUGCCCAGUAGUGGGGGAUAGCUCGGCGAAAGCCGGAUUAAUACCGCAUACGACCUGAGGGUGAAAGAGGGGGAUCUUCGGACCUCGCGCUAUUGGAGCGGCCGAUGGCAGAUUAGCUAGUUGGUGGGGUAAAGGCCUACCAAGGCGACGAUCUGUAGCUGGUCUGAGAGGACGACCAGCCACACUGGGACUGAGACACGGCCCAGACUCCUACGGGGGGCAGCAGUGGGGAAUUUUGGACAAUGGGCGAAAGCCUGAUCCAGCAAUGCCGCGUGUGUGAUGAAGGCCUUCGGGUUGUAAAGCACUUUUGGCGGGAACGAAAAGGACUAUGCCAAUACCACGGUUCGAUGACGGUACCCGCAGAAUAAGCACCGGCUAACUACGUG
This 484-nucleotide ribosomal RNA is filed under the name uncultured bacterium. Its description in RNAcentral is "partial 16S ribosomal RNA". It matches the Rfam family "Bacterial small subunit ribosomal RNA", at positions 29 to 507 of the family's 1533-position model. The record is from RNAcentral.